RNAcentral lists this ribosomal RNA (476 nucleotides) under Kingella denitrificans. RNAcentral's name for it is "bacterial SSU rRNA". It matches the Rfam family "Bacterial small subunit ribosomal RNA", at positions 56 to 525 of the family's 1533-position model. The record is from RNAcentral. Lineage: Bacteria; Pseudomonadati; Pseudomonadota; Betaproteobacteria; Neisseriales; Neisseriaceae.
UGCAAGUCGGACGGCAGCGGGGGUGCUUGCACCUGCCGGCGAGUGGCGAACGGGUGAGUAACAUAUUGGAAUGUACCGAGUAGUGGGGGAUAACCAAUCGAAAGAUUGGCUAAUACCGCAUACGUCCUGAGGGGGAAAGCAGGGGAUCUUCGGACCUUGCGCUAUUUGAGCAGCCAAUAUCUGAUUAGCUAGUUGGUGGGGUAAAGGCCCACCAAGGCGACGAUCAGUAGCGGGUCUGAGAGGAUGAUCCGCCACACUGGGACUGAGACACGGCCCAGACUCCUACGGGAGGCAGCAGUGGGGAAUUUUGGACAAUGGGGGCAACCCUGAUCCAGCCAUGCCGCGUGUCUGAAGAAGGCCUUCGGGUUGUAAAGGACUUUUGUUAGGGAAGAAAAGGGAAGUGUUAAUACCACUUUUUGCUGACGGUACCUAAAGAAUAAGCACCGGCUAACUACGUGCCAGCCGCCGCGGUAAUU